CCUGUCUACACAGGUCGGGAUGUGACUCCGCGGGCGGCGCUCGCGGGGUUGAACCAUACA
The submitters of this non-coding RNA (60 nucleotides) gave its source as unclassified sequences. The record is from Rfam.